GAUGAUCGCUGGCGGCGUGCCUAAUACAUGCAAGCCGAGCGAACAGAUGAGGAGCUUGCUCCUCUGACGUUAGCGGCGGACGGGUGAGUAACACGUGGAUAACCUACCUAUAAGACUGGGAUAACUUCGGGAAACCGGAGCUAAUACCGGAUAAUAUAUUGAACCGCAUGGUUCAAUAGAGAAAGACGGUUUUGCUGUCACUUAUAGAUGGAUCCGCGCCGCAUUAGCUAGUUGGUAAGGUAACGGCUUACCAAGGCAACGAUGCGUAGCCGACCUGAGAGGGUAAUCGGCCACACUGGAACUGAGACACGGUCCAGACUCCUACGGGAGGCAGCAGUAGGGAAUCUUCCGCAAUGGGCGAAAGCCUGACGGAGCAACGCCGCGUGAGUGAUGAAGGUCUUCGGAUCGUAAAACUCUGUUAUUAGGGAAGAACAAAUGUGUAAGUAACUAUGCACGUCUUGACGGUACCUAAUCAGAAAGCCACGGCUAACUACGUG
Molecule: ribosomal RNA, 497 nt
Filed under: uncultured bacterium
Lineage: Bacteria
Description: partial 16S ribosomal RNA
Rfam family: Bacterial small subunit ribosomal RNA
Source: RNAcentral